Molecule: ribosomal RNA, 1264 nt
Filed under: uncultured bacterium
Lineage: Bacteria
Description: bacterial SSU rRNA
Rfam family: Bacterial small subunit ribosomal RNA
Source: RNAcentral
CGGAGAUAUAUGGAGCUUGCUUUAUAUAACUCUUAAAAGAACGGGUGAGUAACACGUAGAUAAUCUAUCCUAUACUGGGGGAUAGCCCGAUGAAAGUUGGAUUAUUUCCGAAAAUAGCUAUAUAGUUGCAUGAUUAUGUAGUGAAAGAUUUAUUGGUAUAGGAGGAGUCUGCGGCACAUUAGCUAGUAGGUGAGGUAAAGGCUUACCUAGGCGACGAUGUGUAGCCGGUCUGAGAGGAUGAACGGCCACAAUGGAGCUGAGACACGGUCCAUACUCCUACGGGAGGCAGCAGUGGGGAAUAUUGCACAAUGGGGGAAACCCUGAUGCAGCUUUUUUUUGUGAGUGAAGAAGGUUUUCGGAUUGUAAAGCUCUGUUAGCAGGGAAGAGGAUUUUUUGUACCUGCAGAGGAAGCCACGGCUAACUACGUGCCAGCAGCCGCGGUAAUACGUAGGUGGCGAGCGUUGUUCGGAAUAACUGGGCGUAAAGGAUGCGUAGGCGGUUAAACAAGUUAUAUGUUAAAUAUAUAGGCUUAACCUGUAGAAAGCAUAUAAAACUGUUUAACUAGAGUGCAGGAGAGGUAAGUGGAAUUCCUAGUGUAUCGGUGGAAAUUGCGUAAAGAUUAGGAAGAACACCAGUGACGAAGGCGACUUACUGGACUGUAACUGACGCUGAGGCAUGAGAGCAUGGGGAGCAAACAGGAUUAGAUACCCUGGUAGUCCAUGCUGUAAACGAUGGGUACUAGGUGUGGGUUGUGAAUAACAAUUCGUGCCGUCGCAAACGCAAUAAGUACCCCGCCUGAGGAGUACGAUCGCAAGAUUAAAACUCAAAGGAAUUGACGGGGACCCGCACAAGCAGCGGAGCAUGUGGUUUAAUUCGAAGCAACGCGAAGAACCAUACCUAAACUUGACAUACCUUGAAUUACCUUGUAAUGAGGGAAGCUCGCAAGAGCAAGGAUACAGGUGGUGCAUGGUUGCCGUCAGCUCGUGUCGUGAGAUGUUGGGUUAAGCCCCGCAACGAGCGCAACCCUUGUUGUUAAUUGCUAACAGGUUAAGCUGAGCACUUUAGCGAGACAGCCUAGGUUAACUAGGAGGAAGGUGGGGAUGACGUCAAAUCAUCAUGCCCCUUACGUUUAGGGCUACACACGUGCUACAAUGGUGAGAACAGAGAGAAGCAAGCUAGUGAUAGUGAGCAAAACUUAUAAAACUCAUCUCAGUUCGGAUUGCAGGAUAAAACUCGCCUGUAUGAAGAUGGAGUUGCUAGUAAU